This 502-nucleotide ribosomal RNA is filed under the name uncultured Desulfobulbus sp. RNAcentral describes it as "bacterial SSU rRNA". It matches the Rfam family "Bacterial small subunit ribosomal RNA", at positions 903 to 1382 of the family's 1533-position model. Lineage: Bacteria; Pseudomonadati; Thermodesulfobacteriota; Desulfobulbia; Desulfobulbales; Desulfobulbaceae. The record is from RNAcentral.
GCCCGCUCAGAAACUCGAAAGGAAGUUGACGGGGCCCGCACAAGCGGUGGAGUAUGUGGUUUAAUUCGAUGCAACGCGAAGAACCUUACCUGGUCUUGACAUCCCGGAGACCCUUAGGAAACUAGGGGGUGCUUCCAUCUGGAAGAAUCUGGAGACAGGUGCUGCAUGGCUGUCGUCAGCUCGUGUCGUGAGAUGUUGGGUUAAGUCCCGCAACGAGCGCAACCCUUGCCUUUAGUUGCCAGCAGUUCGGCUGGGCACUCUAAAGGGACUGCCGGUGUUAAACCGGAGGAAGGUGGGGAUGACGUCAAGUCCUCAUGGCCUUUAUGACCAGGGCUACACACGUACUACAAUGGCCGAUACAAAGGGCAGCGACACUGCGAGGUGAAGCCAAUCCCGUAAAAUCGGUCUCAGUCCGGAUUGGAGUCUGCAACUCGACUCCAUGAAGUUGGAAUCGCUAGUAAUCGUGGAUCAGCAUGCCACGGUGAAUACGUUCCCGGGCCUU